GGAGGGUAUAGUUCAGUGGUAGAGUGCAUGCCUAGCAAGCAUGAGGUCCUGGGUUCAAUCCCCAGUACCUCCA
Molecule: transfer RNA, 73 nt
Filed under: Vicugna pacos (alpaca)
Lineage: Eukaryota; Metazoa; Chordata; Mammalia; Artiodactyla; Camelidae
Description: tRNA-Ala (AGC) (tRNA-Ala-AGC-608-1)
Rfam family: tRNA
About the family: Transfer RNA (tRNA) molecules are approximately 80 nucleotides in length.
Source: RNAcentral